AGGCAGACACGCAGACAGGCAGACACGCAGGCAGGUAGACACGCAGACAGGUAGACACGCAUACUGACGGACACACAGACAGACAGGCAGACAGGUAGACAGCCGGACACGCGGCAGGUAGACAGGCAGACACGCAGACAGGUAGACAGGCAGACAGCUGGACAUGCGGACAGGUAGACAGGCAGACACGCAGACAGGUAGACAGGCAGACACGCAGACAAGCAGACACGCAGACAGGUAGACAGGCAGACAGCCGGACACGCGGACAGGUAGACAGGCGGGCACGGAGACUGACGGACACGCAGACACACAGACAGGCCUCCAGAGUGGCGCCGUGGUCUAAGGCACUGCAUCACAGUGCUAGCUGUGUCACUAGAGAUUCUGGGUUCCAGUCCAGGCUCUGUUGCAGCUGGCCGGCAGGGAUGUCCUUGUUCCAUAGCGCACUAGCGACUCCUGGGUGCAGUGCAUGGUCGCCAGGUGUACAUUGUUUCCUCCAACACAUUGGUGCGGCUGGCUUCCGGGUUAAGUGGGCAUUGUGUCAAGAAGCAGUGCGGCUUGGUUGGGUUGUGUUUCGGAGGACGCACGGCUCUCGACCUUCACCUCACCCGAGUCCGUAUGGGAGUUGCAGCGAUGAGACAAGACUGUAACUACCAAUUGGAUACCACGAAAAGGGGGUAAAAAAUAUAUAUGUUAAAAGGCAGGCAGAUAGAUGGACAGGCAGGCGGGCAGGCAGGUAGACAUUCAUCAUAUAUGGCUUCCUCUAUGUAUUAACUGCAUGUUUCUAUAGCAGACCACAGACAGACAGGCAGGCAGACAGACAGGCAGACAGAUAGGCAGACAGACAGACAGGCAGACAGAUAGGCAGACAGAUAGGCAGAUAGAUGGAUGGACAGAUGGAGAGGAAGAUAUGCAGACAGGCAGAUAAACGAACAGACAGACGGACGGACGGGCAGGCAGGCAGAUAGAUGGACAGACAGAUAGACAGGCAGACAGGCAGAUAUGCAGACAGACAGGAAAAAUUUCAGGCAGACAGACAGAGACAGACAGACAGAUUCUUCUUGGACCUCGCUCAUCAACAAACUGUUUUCUGAGAUACUGAAUUUGGCGCGCUUGGCACAUAGUUUUGCCCAUUCUAACAUUCAGUUGAACAGUAACUGAAUGCCUCGAUGCCUGCUUUAUAUAGCAAGACACAGCCACACAACUCACUGUCUGUAACCCAGUUUUGUGAAAUGGGCGGCGGACCUAAUAAACUGGCCGGAGAGUGUAUAUCAUCGAUACAUGAAUAUAACAGUAUAUAUAGCAUGUUAACAUGGGGAUAUAUACAGUAUCAUCUAUACAUGAAGAUAACAGUAUACAGUAUAUGGGUCGAGUGUUGGUUUCUUGAGGAGAGGAGCGACUCGGGCCAUCUUGAAGUCAGUGGUCAGGGAUGAGUUGAUGAGUGAAGUGAGGAAGGGGAGGUCUCCAGAGAUGGUGUGGAGAAGGGAGGAGGGGAUGGGGAUGAGUUGAUGAGGGAAGUGAGGAAGAGGAGGUCUCCAGAGAUGGUGUGGAGAAGGGAGGAGGGGAUGGGGGUGAGGGAAGUGAGGAAGGGGAGGUCUCCAGAGAUGGUGUGGAGAAGGGAGGAGGGGAUGGGGAUGAGUUGAUGAGGGAAGUGAGGAAGAGGAGGUCUCCAGAGAUGGUGUGGAGAAGGGAGGAAGGGUUGAGCAGGCAGGAUGUCGGGCGGACGGACAUCACUAGUCGCAGGAUUUUAUCUGGAGAGAGAGGGGAGAAAGAGGCCAAAGCGUAAGGUAGUUCUGUGUGAGUGGGAUCAGUGGACUCAAUAGGCUGAGUGAAUGAGGAGCGGCUGGCGUCAACCUAUUCCCUAUAGUGAGCACUAUUACAACACUAUAGUCAAUUACUUUGGGCCAAAGUCUCCCAAAGCUGUCUAAUACAUCUGGUCUAAAGUAGUGCACUAUGAAGGGAGUAGGGUUCCAUAGGACUCUGGUCUAAAGUAGUGCACUAUGAAGGGAGUAGGGUUCCAUAAGACUCUGGUCUAUAGUAGUGCACUAUGAAGGGAACAGGGCUCUAGUCUAUAGUAGUGCACUAUGAAGGGAACAGUGCUCUGGUCUAAAGUAGUGCACUAUGAAGGGAACAGGGCUCUGGUCUAUAGUAGUGCACUAUGAAGGGAACAGGGCUCUGGUCUAUAGUAGUGCACUAUGAAGGGAACAGGGCUCUGGUCUAUAGUAGUGUACUAUGACAGGGAACAGGGCUCUGGUCUAAAGUAGUGCACUAUGAAGGGAACAGUGCUCUGGUCUAUAGUAGUGCACUAUGAAGGGAACAGGGCUCUGGUCUAAAGUAGUGCACUAUGAAGGGAACAGGGCUCUGGUCUAUAGUAGUGUACUAUGAAGGGAACAGGGCUCUGUAGAGGAGUUUGGUGCCAUUUUAGAUUGGCCCUGUGUGUAUGCAACAUGAUAUAUCUAAUGAUGUUAGAUUAUCUAUAUUAGUGUAAUUUAUGUUAUUUUAUCUAUAUUAAUGUAAAUUAUACUGUAUGAUGUAAAUGUCUCUGAAAAUAAACUGCCUGAUCCUAAAAGAACCAAUAAAAACCCAGAUGACAAAGCUCUCUGUCUCUCUAGAGCUCUAUGUAGAAUACCAGACCCAACCAUAAACCUCUAGACCAGGAGGAGACAAUCCUGUAGAGUACCAGACCUAACCAUAACCCUGUAGAGUACCAGACCUAACCAUAACCCUCUAGACCAGGAGGCGACAACCCUGUAGAGUACCA
Molecule: long non-coding RNA, 2758 nt
Organism: Oncorhynchus tshawytscha (Chinook salmon)
Lineage: Eukaryota; Metazoa; Chordata; Actinopteri; Salmoniformes; Salmonidae
Source: Ensembl